CCCGCGCCCCGGGGUCCUGCGGCGAGGCGGGAGGGAGGGGCGGUGACUCCUCAGCCAGCCACGGCUUCGUGCACCUGUACCCCACGCAAAGGAAAGAUCCUGUAUAGUUCUACAGGCAGCUCCUCAUGCCAGCCGCCCGGGAAGUUUCCUGGGUUUCGCCCUUCUCGGGGCUCCGGGGGCCUCGGGGUUAACUUCCCUUUGAGAGCAGCGGCUCCCUCCGCAUUCGGGGCCUGGGCUUGAACCCCGGGCGGCUCCGGGCGGUCUCCCUCGCGCGCUCACCCGCCGCGGGAACCACCUCCCGGAGCAGACAGCACCCAGGUGGCAAGCACCCCAGGCCCCCGCUGCACUCGCCGGGUGAAAAGCAAAGCUCCUUGCCACCCUCCCCAUCUUCACUCCCCACAAAACGCCUAGAUUGCUCCAGCAUAAUACGAGUUGUUGAUGCUUAACUAAGUGGGAAUCCAGAAAGCGCCUGCAGUCAUCCCUCUACUCCCCAAAGGCAUGUGGAGUAUCAUCUGAGCCCCUCCCUCCUGCCAUUUCCCCAAUUUGCCCUUUCGGUCUAAAUGACUGAAGUCACAGCUAAAGCAAGAUAUAAGAGGACAAUCUGAAACCUAAAGGAUGGCACUAACUCUCUGAAGCAUUCAAUGAGCUGAUCCCUGAGACUCUCUUCGAGGUGCUGGCAAUUUCGUUAAACUCUGUGCCCAAUUGGGUUCCAACUCAUAACCCUGGGAUCAAGAUGCACCAUGUUCUACCAGCUGAGCCAGCCAGGUGCUUCCUUACUGCAAAUCCUUGAAUCUCAAAAGCAAACUAUAACACACAUUCCAGAAGAGCUAGAAUGGAAAAGACAGACAACACCACAUGUGGAAUUACUGGAAUGCUCAAAUAUUGUUGGUGGAAGUGCAAAUUAGUACAGCCACUCCAGGAAGACUAUUUGAUUGUACCGACUGAAGUUGGAGAUAGGCAUAUUUUAUGACCCAGCAAAUCCACCUAUCUACAUGCAAAUUCAAUAGAGAUAGCAACACAGCAAACAUGCUGUGCUGUUCAGAGUGCCAUUUGUAAUAGCCCCAAACUAGAAACGACCCAUAUGGCUUUCAAAAGUAUAAUGGAUAAAGACAUUGAAUAAGAUGUAAAUUCACAUAAUGGAAUAUUACGUGAUGACAGAUAUGGACAAACUAUCACUACAGGCAACACCAGGGAUACAUCUUAUAAACAUAAUGUGGAGUUAGAGCAGCCAACUAUAAAGAAGGCCUCACUGUUUUGUUUCAUUUAUAUAAAUUUCAAAAACAGGCAAAUAGAUCUAUCGUAUUAAAAAUCAAGAUAACCUGGAGUAGGAAGGUGUCGCCCAUGGAAAGGGGCUUAGCGAGGAUUUUGAGGGUGUUGGGGAUGUUGUACUUCCUAAUCUGGGUGCUCGUGAUGUCAGUACAAUGAAACACAAACUGAGCUGUCCACCCAUGAUUUGUGCAUUUUUAUCUAUGUUCUGUCUCAGUAAAAGCAUACUAGAAAACAAACCCAGAAAUGACAAGCUGUGGUAUACCAGAGAACCUCCUAACUUGCUUGUAGCUCUAACAUCCCAUGAUUCUUUUCCAUUGGAAAAAGACUAGAGGAUAAGUUCUUUGAUUCUAGGUCACAGAAGGAAAUUCUAAUCGGCAAGGAGGAGCCCUGCGGCCAGUCAUCCUCUGUACCUGAGCCCGCUGUUCGGUGUCCCAGGUUCUGGGAGUGGUCCAUGCAUAGCAGUGCAGAGCAUCCUUGGCAGAAGAGGAAGACUGGCUCCAGUGGCACUUUCUAGAUGUCUUGCUCCGCUUCUCUGCCAUCAGCCUCCGUCUCCUUUAUUUUGUCAGGGCUUUCCUCCCUGGCACCCCCGGUUUUUGGGUCUGACAGUUGGCUGGGAGAAAUGCCCCCUUUUCUCUCCCUUUAUUGGCAUCCAUCUUAGUUCUUCUUGUAAUGGCUGCUCUUGUGAGCUCACACAUCCCUUGUGUGGUGUGUUCCUCACCCACCGUACAGCUAAAAUUAUCCUAUUGGCUUUUCCUGGUGGCACACAGCAUUUCAAAGUUAAAAACAUCAAACGCUCUCCCUGUCUGCUUACCUCUCAAUGGCAUUCUUGUCCAUUUUGAUGUGCUCCACUAGAGUGACAGCUCAGAAAAAACCAUCAAGGGGAAAGAAAAUCAAGAAUACAAGUACUAAAGAUGGGCAGAAGGACCAAAGGUAGAGACAGACAAUGAACGGCACCUCCCAGCCCAUCACUUAGUUAUUAGGCACUCUCUGCUCACACCUGAGGACAGGUUACAAGAACAGCAAGCAACGUCAGGUGUGCCUUCACAAGCUCCUGACCUAAAGGGCAUGCAGGAUGUAGGCAAAUCAACAAUGAGAAGUCGCAAAUGAAAAAUAAUGUAAUGAUGAAAUGGAAAUGACGUGGGAACACAAAAAGGGCACGGGGCUCCCCAAGACAGUGCCAUUUACAUAAACAAAGCCUCAUGGAAGACAGGUUAAAAUUGGAAACACUUAUCAUGCAGUCGGAGUCUGAGGCUGGUUGGAGAGAUUAAUGGAGUGUGUGGCAGGCUGGCUCCAUAAUCAUGAAAUAUAGACAGCCCAGAGCCUGGCCCUGUGAGCGGCACUUGGGGGCUUUUCCUGUGGAAGAUUAUUUCCUAGGGAGGGAGGUGACCAUGUGAAGCUGAGGACAUUUUUGAGCAAGGAGAAGUCAAAUCUAGUCCAUAGUGGAAGAGUUGUCAGGAUGAAAAUCAUGAAAGUUCUACUACUUAUUGUACUUGAAGCAUUCGAGGACUUGGCCUUUCUUCCUCCCUCCCCAGUGCACGGUCCCGGCCCAAGUUCUACUUCUUUGAGUCUGAUUCAUUCACUGGGACUCUGGGGGUGGACAGUGGUGGAAAUAAAGAAUAUUGGUUUAUCUAUUUAUCUGUCCCCACCCCUAACAUAAAAUACCAAUCAUAAGACAACCUAAUCCAACCAUUAAAGGAUGAGCCAGAUGUGAGAGGACCUGUCUCAUCAAUUUUUAAUUUGUGUUAUUUUCUGGACUGCAAACCAAUUGGGUAUAAUAGAGAAAAAUAGCCCAAGUUAUAUGGGAACUGCUUGAAAUAUAAUACUCAUGAUGCUCAAGACUGGAUCUUACUAUCACCAUCACUAUGCAUGUUUUAGGGAAAUAAAGAAACUGAAGAAGAGGGAUGUCCAUUUUAUUCAUUCAUUCAUUCAUCCAUUCAUUCAUUCAGCAAGUAAUUUUGAGCUCCUACUGCAUGCCUAGACACAGGAAGUCCACUCAAUUGCAAGUCAGUGCUGAACAGCAGACACAAUCAAGAGCUGGUGCCCUAGUCUGCACAGGCUGCCCUCACAAAAUACCACAAACUAGUGGCUUAAACAGCAGAAUUUUUACUUUCUCAUAGUUCUGGAGACUGAAAGUCCUCAGAGAGGUAGUUUCUCCCAAGGUCUCUCUCCACAGCUUGCAAAUGACCACCAUGUCCUCAUGUGACCUUUGCUCUGUGAAUGUAUUUUUGACGUCUCUGGUGUCCUAAUCUCUUCUUAAAAAGACUCCAGACAGAUUAAGGCCCACUCUAGGUGGGUCUCAUUUUAACUUAAUUACCUCUUUGAAAGCGCUUGGAAAUACUGGGGGUUAGGGCUUUAACACAAGAAUGGAGGUAAGAUGGGCAUGGACACUACUCAGCCUGUUACAGCUGGGAAGACAAUUUGAUCCUUUGGCCAAGGUCAUGGGACCUUAACUUCAUCCCUCUAAACUGGAGCUGGAAGGUUUCUUUUCCCUAGCAACAUCAGGAUUCACAAAAAGUCUAAAUCCUGAAUGCCCAUGGAGUGUGGUAGAGGAAGUACACUGGGGCAAAUUCCCACAUGGGGAUCCAACAGUCCACCACCUGUAGAACAAUGAUGGCUUGUGUGGACCAAGGAAGCAACUGUGUCCAAUUGCCCAGACUGUUUGCUAAAAACACUGAAAAGGAAACAUCUGCUUAUACUGUAUUUUUUUCUUUUUUCCCCCCUCUGAAUGCUUUAAAAGUGAAUAAAGUGGAUUUCAGUAACCCUGCCACACAAAGCUGGAUUCAUGCUUUCAGUAAUCCCCUUGGUGCUUGUCACAUUCAUUCUUGCUCUGAGGCACUUCAAACACUGUUGAUUUCUUCUUCCAUGAAUCUGAAUGAAGGUAAGGCUGUGGAGCCAAGUUGUUCCUGCUUUUCAGGGUGGGAUUUCACAGUCAAUCUGCCAACUCAUUAAGAGCACCCACCCCUUUCGGUUUUCCGGAUUUAUUCUGAUUGUAAUUUCUCUUCGUCUCCUUAAUCUUGAAAUAAAGAGCUUUUGG
Long non-coding RNA from Nyctereutes procyonoides (raccoon dog), 4303 nucleotides. RefSeq lists it as uncharacterized. NCBI's taxonomy places the organism in Eukaryota, Metazoa, Chordata, Mammalia, Carnivora, Canidae. The transcript has 3 exons. The record is from RefSeq and is a predicted model, not a curated record.